RNAcentral lists this ribosomal RNA (465 nucleotides) under uncultured bacterium. RNAcentral describes it as "partial 16S ribosomal RNA". It matches the Rfam family "Bacterial small subunit ribosomal RNA", at positions 338 to 795 of the family's 1533-position model. The record is from RNAcentral.
GCUACGGGAGGCAGCAGUGGGGAAUAUUGCGCAAUGGGCGAAAGCCUGACGCAGCGACGCAGCGUGAGGGAUGAAGGUCUUCGGAUCGUAAACCUCCGUCAGCAGGGAAGAACGGUCACUGUGCUAAUCAGCAGUGAAUUGACGGUACCGGCAAAGGAAGCACCGGAUAACUCCGUGCCAGCAGCCGCGGUAAUACGGGGGGUGCGAGCGUUAAUGGGAAUUAAUGGGCGUAAAGCGCUCGUAGGCGGUAUGUCAGAGCAAGGGUGAAAGCCCCGCGCUCAACGUGGGAACUGCCUUUGAAACUGGCAAACUGGAGUGUGUGAGAGGAUAGUGGAAUUUGAGGUGUAGGAGUGAAAUCCGUAGAUAUCUGGAGGAACAUCAGUGGCGAAGGCGACUAUCUGGCACAUAACUGACGCUGAGGAGCGAAAGCGUGGGUAGCAAACAGGAUUAGAUACCCUAGUAGUC